UUGAAAGGGAGGGGAGGGGAGGGUUUUGGAAAAAGGAAGGAGCAAGUGGAAGAAAUAGAAGACAUUGGGAGGAAAGCGCUUUGGAGGUUAAUUUUUUACUCAUAACAAAAAAUCCCCCUCAUUUGGGGGAACUCAAAAAUUGUAUUAGGGGAGGGUUAUGGAGGGUUUAUAUGAAUUUUUCAAAUUCAAUCUAUGUUGUUAUAAUAUUCUUAAAAUUAAAAGUAUAUUAAUCAUAAGUAUUAGUUUAUCAUUC
Molecule: long non-coding RNA, 253 nt
Filed under: Medicago truncatula (barrel medic)
Lineage: Eukaryota; Viridiplantae; Streptophyta; Magnoliopsida; Fabales; Fabaceae
Description: lncRNA gene38713
Source: RNAcentral